AAACGAUACAGAGGUGCGAUGUGUUGGGUACCUAGCUUGUUAGAGGUUUUGGACGACCUAUGAGCUGGAGAAGGUACAUGUCGCCGAAAGACUAAUUAGGUCCAUAAUUACUCUUGGUGGUUGAAGGUACACGUCACCCACUGCCAUUUAAACGAAAAUGGAGAGCUGUCUUUAAU
Non-coding RNA from Tenericutes bacterium GWD2_38_27, 176 nucleotides. NCBI's taxonomy places the organism in Bacteria, Bacillati, Mycoplasmatota. The record is from Rfam.